UGUUAUUGAAUCCUAACAAAAGCUAUGUGAUAAUCUUUUCUUCUUCCCUCUGUUUUCUAUUUCUUUUAUUUCUUUUUCUAACAAAACGAAAAGCCUAUGGCCAGAUUCUACGGCGCGAGUUCGAGAGGAGGAGAGAUCGAGUUAUAGAAACCAAAACGUGGUAGGCAUAGGGGGCGCGAUUUUUUGAGAAAGAGAAGGAGAUUCUUCGGGAUUCUGGAGUUUUUGGGCAAACUUGGGAGAAAGUCUAAUUAGGAACAAAGCGAGGAGGACGAAGGAGAAAGAGAGAGCGCGGAGGACGUGAGUUCGGUGCGCGAGCAGUACGAGAUUAGGGUUUUCGGGUUUAAUUGUGAGAAUAUAUCGAACCAGCACUUUGUGACAUGGGGCAGCGACUGUUGAAUGCAGAUUGAAGGAGAAUAAACCACAAAAAUUAGUAUUUUGUCUCUCCAAUUUCUUGAUCUGUCAGAGAACAGUCACGGACAGACGCACGAACACCACCAGACCAGUAGCGA
This is an RNA transcript of Vigna angularis (adzuki bean), 509 nucleotides long. RefSeq lists it as uncharacterized. Lineage: Eukaryota; Viridiplantae; Streptophyta; Magnoliopsida; Fabales; Fabaceae. The transcript is spliced from 3 exons. The record is from RefSeq and is a predicted model, not a curated record.